GGUCUACGCGCCGACCUAACAAUGCGCGACGGCUGGUUACGGUAACGACCUAAAAACUUCCAA
Molecule: non-coding RNA, 63 nt
Filed under: unclassified sequences
Description: GP20-b RNA
Rfam family: GP20-b RNA
Source: RNAcentral